RNAcentral lists this ribosomal RNA (482 nucleotides) under uncultured bacterium. RNAcentral's name for it is "bacterial SSU rRNA". It matches the Rfam family "Bacterial small subunit ribosomal RNA", at positions 27 to 507 of the family's 1533-position model. The record is from RNAcentral.
GAUUGAACGCUGCGGCAUGCCUUACACAUGCAAGUCGAACGGCAGCACGGGGCAACCUGGUGGCGAGUGGCGAACGGGUGAGUAAUGCAUCGGAACGUGCCAUUGAGUGGGGGGUAACGUAGCGAAAGUUACGCUAAUACCGCAUAUUCUGUGAGCAGGAAAGCAGGGGAUCGCAAGACCUUGCGCUCUUUGAGCGGCCGAUGUCAGAUUAGCUAGUUGGUGAGGUAACGGCUUACCAAGGCGACGAUCUGUAGCGGGUCUGAGAGGAUGAUCCGCCACACUGGAACUGAGACACGGUCCAGACUCCUACGGGAGGCAGCAGUGGGGAAUUUUGGACAAUGGGGGCAACCCUGAUCCAGCCAUGCCGCGUGAGUGAAGAAGGCCUUCGGGUUGUAAAGCUCUUUCGGCCGGGAAGAAAUCGCAUGGGUUAAUACCCUGUGUGGAUGACGGUACCGGCAUAAGAAGCACCGGCUAACUACGUG